UGUAGGACCCAGGCAAAGGCGGGCAAAGUGUAGAGGAAGCUGCUGUCCCUGGUGAAGAAUGCCAGGACACAACUCUUGGUUAAGCUGGACACUGUGGACACCUUUAUGUCAGUUUGUCACUCUACUGGCUUAAUACGACCUACCGCAACUUAUAUCACACUUCAUGUCUGCCCUUCAACGUUUGUGAAAAUUUUUCCUUUGGCCAUCUCUACCCUGUUAUAACACAAAGGUGAAAGAGCCUCAGUCAACAAAAAUUAAAACCAGCGAGUAUGGUGGCCACUGUGGAGAAGUCUGGCCCCUCUCCAGAAAGAGGCCUGGAUGUUCCCUCUGCUGACCUCCUCAGAAAUAUGCGGCCUCCCGCUGGACAGCCCAUGCUUGCAUCCUCUGGGGACACAAGGCGUGGCCAAGGUGGGAUGGCUGUCUUUAGUGACACCUACUGAUAAGAGCCAAUCGGAACCAUGGCCGAAUUCCUUUGGGCUGGACCUGCCAACAAACUGCUCAGCCCUCCAGAUGUUGCUGCUUUGUGAGAAAUGAGAACUCAAUAAACCAGGCUCACCCUUCCUCCUGGGGUGAGCGCAAAGACAGUCAGAUAUGGAAAAUCACUGCUCCGCACCAUGAACAAUGCACGCAAACGAGGGGAUGGGCCCGACCGUAUUUGUCUUGGUGGAACAGACAGCCAUGAAGCCUGAUGCAAGAAUUUUAGCUGGCAACCGUUCAAAAUGUGACUAUACAUUGCAAUUGCUCAACAAAAGGGGGCCCUUAGCCGGGAGAAAGCCCAAAAAUAGGCUUAAAGAACUAGCUAGAGGAGCUUGUAAAAAGGGUUAAAUAUGUAUCACACAUGACUUUAUGAUGCUGAACGUUUCUCCACCUUCUGUGUUUUUCACAUUUCAUUCUUUGGUGUUAUGUAAUAAAUCAGAAAGAUGCAGCAGUAAAUAGCCUCAUGG
Long non-coding RNA from Chinchilla lanigera (long-tailed chinchilla), 944 nucleotides. RefSeq lists it as uncharacterized. The transcript has 3 exons. NCBI's taxonomy places the organism in Eukaryota, Metazoa, Chordata, Mammalia, Rodentia, Chinchillidae. The record is from RefSeq and is a predicted model, not a curated record.